CAGGGUUGCAUGUACUUGAAUUUAGUUGAAUCGCAUUUUUUUUAUUCAUAUGUACAUCUUAAAGUUUCUUACAUACGUACAUAUGGGACUCGCUUAUGAAAGUAAUAAGGUUUACUGAUAUGUAUGUACGCAGUCUUGGCAAUCAUUUUAUAAUCACACACAACACAUGUGUACUGGUUAGAUAAAAAUAUUUCUCGAAUUAUCUAGGGGACUUUUUUAUAUUUAUGAAAAUAUUUUACCCAUAAUGAAAUUAAGAUUUUCACCAGUUUUGAGCUUUGUGCUUAUUGUUACUGCACUGGUAUUGAUACAAGUUCCAGAAUCAGAAGAGGUUGAGUGGACAUGGAGCAAUGUGAAAAAUCGAAUUUCGGACAAACUUAUCCCAUCCCGUCAGACUAAUGCUGCUGCUUCAAUCACUAUGACUUACCCAACCCCACCAACUGCCCCACCCAGACGGAGGACAACACCCACUACGACUGCCCGAUCGUAUACCUUGAUCCCUAUGACGACACCCCGCAGGACGCAAGUUUCAGAUCAAUCGAGGACUUGUGCCUGUGGGGAAGAGACAGCUUCAGUAUUUUUUAGGCAAGGAGCGAUUUUAGGCAUAUUUUUAUAUUUCAUAUGGAUCACAUUUAUCCCUUGGUUUGGGAAAAUACCUACAUAUAAUUUGUGCUUUGCGAUGAACGACUUUCUCAUCUGCUUAACUACGUGUUCCGAGUUAAUGAAAAAUUUAGAUUUAUUUAAGGAAAGGCGAGCAUAACAUAUUUUGAUAUCGUGCUCUACUUUCACAUCUGCUUCAUUAAUUGUGCAAAGUUGGAUCGGUUGGGAUAUGCAGAAAGGGUCAAAUCCAAGCGUAUGCAAUGUAUGUAAAAAAAAGUUGUGAAUUAUGUAUGUACUUAACUACAAGUUAAUUAAUUACGAGUUUCAGGCCUGAAUCGGUUAGAUUUAUGUUUGUGAUUUAUUUCAUCAGUUAAAAAAUAAUAUGUACGUUCAAUGAUUUACAGCUAUCAUUUUACCAGUCAAUGAACCUACUGACUGACUUUGUUUCUGUAAAUUAGAACGUGUGUUAAAUGGUAAAUAUAAACAAAUACUUAUUUAGACUUGUUUGUCUUCACGA
Molecule: long non-coding RNA, 1114 nt
Organism: Folsomia candida
Lineage: Eukaryota; Metazoa; Arthropoda; Collembola; Entomobryomorpha; Isotomidae
Exons: 2
Source: RefSeq, a predicted model, not a curated record